RNAcentral lists this long non-coding RNA (251 nucleotides) under Elaeis guineensis (African oil palm). Its description in RNAcentral is "long non-coding RNA (EGUI_LNC010889)". Lineage: Eukaryota; Viridiplantae; Streptophyta; Magnoliopsida; Arecales; Arecaceae. The record is from RNAcentral.
AAGCCUUUUCUUGUCUUUCAAAAGUUUUAUUUGACUAAAGCAUCAAAGAGUCCCUCACUACACAUGCUCCGCUGGGUAGACCACUUUGCUUUUAUAGUUUUAAAUUUUAGCCAAUGUUGGAGCACGGUUCAAAGUCGUUCCUCCACUACCCCAUGCCAACUUGUGGGUGCUUGGUGUUAGAAUCCUCAUUAAUGACCAAGUGCAGUAGCCAUCAGAUUAUCGCUGUAGAGAUAUGCAGCAACCUUAUCCAA